RNAcentral lists this transfer RNA (66 nucleotides) under Liopterus haemorrhoidalis. RNAcentral's name for it is "tRNA-Asp". Lineage: Eukaryota; Metazoa; Arthropoda; Insecta; Coleoptera; Dytiscidae. The record is from RNAcentral.
AAAGAAUUAGUUAAAAAAUAACAUUAGAAUGUCAAACUAAAAUUAUUAAUUUAUUAAUAUUCUUUA